UUUGUUACCAAGAUACGGUAAUGAAAACCAUUAUUUCACUCAGCUCUUGUGUAAGACUUAAAGAGCAGAAAGAUGAAGAUGAAGCUGGGGGAAAUCGGACACAUCUUGAAGUUCUUUAUAAUGAUUUUCAACUCAGUUUAUGUGAUACUUGGAUUUGCUAUUUUGGGAUGUGGAAUCUGGAUUUUAUUUGACAAAAGCAGCUUCAUUAUAACCAUCAGCAGCAAGGAGACCAUUCGAAUCGUUGCCAGUGGCCUCUGUGUGAUCGGCCU
RNAcentral lists this long non-coding RNA (269 nucleotides) under Scleropages formosus (Asian bonytongue). RNAcentral's name for it is "lncRNA (ENSSFOG00015028632.1)". Lineage: Eukaryota; Metazoa; Chordata; Actinopteri; Osteoglossiformes; Osteoglossidae. The record is from RNAcentral.